Long non-coding RNA from Limanda limanda (common dab), 232 nucleotides. RefSeq lists it as uncharacterized. The record is from RefSeq and is a predicted model, not a curated record. The transcript is spliced from 4 exons. Lineage: Eukaryota; Metazoa; Chordata; Actinopteri; Pleuronectiformes; Pleuronectidae.
GACCCAUUGCUGAGGGCAUCUCUGGGGGGAGUUCAUCGGACCCACCCACGCCCCAGGUCACAGGGGCCUACAUAAGAGUUACUGAUGGUGUAAUCUGUCUCGUUGAGCCUUCUGCCAUAACAGACCUCCAUGCUGUUGAGGAUGAUGAAGAAACCUUAUCAGCUGCCACAGAGAGGGAAGAUGCAGAGAGGCCUGCUGAAAGCCAUGCUGGAAAUUACAAUGGGGAAGAAGG